RNAcentral lists this ribosomal RNA (442 nucleotides) under uncultured Desulfovibrio sp. Its description in RNAcentral is "bacterial SSU rRNA". It matches the Rfam family "Bacterial small subunit ribosomal RNA", at positions 939 to 1382 of the family's 1533-position model. Lineage: Bacteria; Pseudomonadati; Thermodesulfobacteriota; Desulfovibrionia; Desulfovibrionales; Desulfovibrionaceae. The record is from RNAcentral.
AUGUGGUUUAAUUCGAUGCAACGCGAAGAACCUUACCUGGGCUUGACAUCCCGGGAAUCCCCUGGAAACAGGGGAGUGCCCUUGGGAACCCGGUGACAGGUGCUGCAUGGCUGUCGUCAGCUCGUGUCGUGAGAUGUUGGGUUAAGUCCCGCAACGAGCGCAACCCUCGCCUUUAGUUGCCAGCAUUCAGUUGGGCACUCUAGAGGGACUGCCGGUGUCAAACCGGAGGAAGGUGGGGAUGACGUCAAGUCCUCAUGGCCUUUAUGUCUAGGGCUACACACGUACUACAAUGGCCGGUACAAAGGGCAGCCACUCAGCGAUGAGGCGCUAAUCCCAUAAAGCCGGUCUCAGUCCGGAUCGCAGUCUGCAACUCGACUGCGUGAAGUUGGAAUCGCUAGUAAUCGUGGAUCAGAAUGUCACGGUGAAUACGUUCCCGGGUCUU